GAGGUAGCAAUACCUCCUAGAGUGGCGGACUGGUGAGUAACACGUGGGUGACAUACCCUUCAGAUGGGGAUAGCCAUUAGAAAUAGUAGAUAAUACCGAAUACGAGCACAGGGGUUAGAGAUCUGUGAGGAAAGGAGCUAAGGCUCCGCUGAAGGAAUGGCCUGCGGCCCAUUAGCUAGUUGGUGAGGUAAGAGCCCACCAAGGCGAUGAUGGGUAUCCGGCCUUAGAGGGUGAACGGACACAUUGGGACUGAGAUACGGCCCAGACUCCUACGGGAGGCAGCAGCUAAGAAUAUUCCGCAAUGGACGAAAGUCUGACGGAGCGACGCCGCGUGGAUGAAGAAGGCCGGAAGGUUGUAAAAAUCCUUUUGAAACUGAAGAAUAAGCGUUGUAGGGAAUGACAGCGUGGUGACAGUAGGUUUUGAAUAAGCAACGGCUAAUUACGUGCCAGCCGCCGC
RNAcentral lists this ribosomal RNA (457 nucleotides) under uncultured bacterium. RNAcentral's name for it is "bacterial SSU rRNA". It matches the Rfam family "Bacterial small subunit ribosomal RNA", at positions 73 to 518 of the family's 1533-position model. The record is from RNAcentral.